RNAcentral lists this ribosomal RNA (253 nucleotides) under uncultured bacterium. RNAcentral describes it as "partial 16S ribosomal RNA". It matches the Rfam family "Bacterial small subunit ribosomal RNA", at positions 524 to 776 of the family's 1533-position model. The record is from RNAcentral.
AACGUAGGACGCAAGCGUUAUCCGGGAUUACUGGGCGUAAAGCGCGUGCAGGCGGGUCGGUAAGUUGGUUAUGAAAGCUCCUGGCUAAACUGGGAGAGGUUGACCAAGACUGCCGGUCUUGAGUGAGAGAGAGGGACACGGAAUUCCGGGUGUAGUGGUGAAAUGCGUAGAGAUCCGGAGGAACACCAGUGGCGAAGGCGGUGUCCUGGCUCUCAACUGACGCUGAGGCGCGACAGCGUGGGGAGCGAACGGG